AUCUUUUUAGUAUAAAAAUUACAAGUGACUUCCAAUCAUUUAACCCUAGUUAAAAUCUAGGAAUAGAUA
This 69-nucleotide transfer RNA is filed under the name Batrachuperus tibetanus (Tibetan mountain salamander). Its description in RNAcentral is "tRNA-Gly". It matches the Rfam family "tRNA". From Rfam's summary of the family: Transfer RNA (tRNA) molecules are approximately 80 nucleotides in length. Their secondary structure includes four short double-helical elements and three loops (D, anti-codon, and T loops). The record is from RNAcentral. Lineage: Eukaryota; Metazoa; Chordata; Amphibia; Caudata; Hynobiidae.